This 253-nucleotide ribosomal RNA is filed under the name uncultured bacterium. RNAcentral describes it as "partial 16S ribosomal RNA". It matches the Rfam family "Bacterial small subunit ribosomal RNA", at positions 524 to 776 of the family's 1533-position model. The record is from RNAcentral.
UACAGAGGGGGCAAGCGUUAUUCGGAAUUAUUGGGCGUAAAGGGCGCGUAGGCGGCUUUGCAAGUGACGGGUGAAAGCCCUCGGCUUAACCGAGGAACUGCCUGUCAGACUGUAAGGCUUGAGACCGGGAGAGGUGAGUGGAAUUCCCAGUGUAGCGGUGAAAUGCGUAGAUAUUGGGAGGAACACCGGUGGCGAAGGCGGCCCCCUGGACCGGUACUGACGCUGAGGCGCGAAAGCGUGGGUAGCAAACGGG